ACAGGGAUUGCCCUAGUAACGGCGAGUGAAGCGGCAACAGCUCAAAUUUGAAAUCUGGCUCUUUCAGGGUCCGAGUUGUAAUUUGCAGAGGGCGCUUUGGCGUUGGCAGCGGUCCAAGUUCCUUGGAACAGGACGUCACAGAGGGUGAGAAUCCCGUACGUGGUCGCUGGCCUUCGCCGUGUAAAGCCCCUUCGACGAGUCGAGUUGUUUGGGAAUGCAGCUCUAAAUGGGAGGUAAAUUUCUUCUAAAGCUAAAUACUGGCCAGAGACCGAUAGCGCACAAGUAGAGUGAUCGAAAGAUGAAAAGCACUUUGGAAAGAGAGUCAAAUAGCACGUGAAAUUGUUGAAAGGGAAGCGCUUGCAGCCAGACUUGCCUGUAGUUGCUCAUCCGGGCUUCUGCCCGGUGCACUCUUCUAUAGGCAGGCCAGCAUCAGUUUGGGCGGUUGGAUAAAGGUCUCUGUCAUGUACCUCUCUUCGGGGAGGCCUUAUAGGGGAGACGACAUGCAACCAGCCUGGACUGAGGUCCGCGCAUUUUGCUAGGAUGCUGGCGUAAUGGCUGUAAGCGGCCCGUCUUGAAACACGGACCAAGGAGUCUAACAUCUAUGCGAGUGUUUGGGUGUCAAGCCCGAACGCGUAAUGAAAGUGAACGGAGGUGGGAACCCUUUAGGGCGCACCAUCGACCGAUCCUGAUGUCUUCGGAAGGAUUUGAGUAAGAGCAUGGCUGUUGGGACCCGAAAGAUGGUGAACUAUGCUUGAAUAGGGUGAAGCCAGAGGAAACUCUGGUGGAGGCUCGCAGCGGUUCUGACGUGCAAAUCGAUCGUCAAAUUUGGGCAUAGGGGCGAAAGACUAAUCGAACUAUCUAGUA
This 864-nucleotide ribosomal RNA is filed under the name Plenodomus sinensis. RNAcentral's name for it is "partial large subunit ribosomal RNA". It matches the Rfam family "Eukaryotic large subunit ribosomal RNA", at positions 68 to 949 of the family's 3401-position model. Lineage: Eukaryota; Fungi; Ascomycota; Dothideomycetes; Pleosporales; Leptosphaeriaceae. The record is from RNAcentral.